AGCAGCCGCGGUAAUUCCAGCUCCAAUAGCGUAUAUUAAAGUUGUUGCAGUUAAAAAGCUCGUAGUUGAAUUUCGGGAUCAGUUUGUUGGUCGUGCUUCGGUACGUACUGUCAUUACUGGUUUCUACCUUCUGAAGAACCUUGAUGUCAUUAAUUUGGUGUCUUGGGGAAUCAGGACUGUUACUUUGAAAAAUUAGAGUGUUUAAAGCAAGCAUACGCUUGAAUACAUUAGCAUGGAAUAAUGAAAUAGGACGUUUGAUUCUAUUUUGUUGGUUUCUAGGAUCGACGUAAUGAUUAAUAGGGAUAGUUGGGGGCAUUAGUAUUCAAUUGUCAGAGGUGAAAUUCUUGGAUUUAUUGAAGACUAACUACUGCGAAAGCAUUUGCCAAGGAUGUUUUCAUUAAUCAAGAACGAAAGUUAGGGGAUCGAAGACGAUCAGAUACCGUCGUAGUCUUAACCAUAAACUAUGCCGACUAGGGAUCGGAUGAUGUUAUUUUUAAUGACUCAUUCGGCGCCUUAAAC
This 519-nucleotide ribosomal RNA is filed under the name uncultured Glomus. Its description in RNAcentral is "SSU rRNA". It matches the Rfam family "Eukaryotic small subunit ribosomal RNA", at positions 569 to 1093 of the family's 1831-position model. The record is from RNAcentral. Lineage: Eukaryota; Fungi; Glomeromycota; Glomeromycetes; Glomerales; Glomeraceae.